UACAUUUACAGAGAGAAGACUGAGGAACUUGAAAGCACCAUGUUAAGGUGCAAGAAGGCUACAGCAAGUUAUGAGUGAAGGGCAGGCUGCGCUGUCUCUUGGAUACUGGGAGUGUUUAGGAACAGAGGGAUGGUUUGGCUAUGGACAUCAAUCUGUUACAGUAAGGGAUAUGGGAUCUGCCCUUGUUGUCACCCAGCUGCUCAUUACAAUUCCUCUACUUGAAGUCCUCUUGCAGUCUGAGUCACUGGGAGUCCCCGAGAGUUUCUGGAUGGAGUUGAAGCCUGGACCUCCUGGCCCUAACGUCAUGCAGCCUUGGUCCACAAGGGACAGACCGUUGUGUUUCUCACCAUGGUUCACCACAGCCAGCACACUGGAGUACCAUCAGUGCAAAAAGAGAUGGGCUGCUCAUCCCUGUAAAGGCCCCCAGCUGUACAUGAAAUUGAUCCAAAAACAUUUAGGGGAAGGGAACCAACACUUCUCUACUGGAAAUGUAUCAAAGGGCAAAAUCCAGCACCUUGUAUCAUCUGGCUUACUAAUGCUACAUGUUCUUUCCAGGUCUUCUGUCAAAAUAGAUGCAGGACAAAAGAGAUUAUUUUUGAUGCUCCUCUGCAUGCUCCAGCUGUGCAGAUAGAGAAGCUCCAGGAGUGACCAAGGGAAAAAGCUUUGUGUUGUGAAUUGAUUUCUUCGAUGUCUCAUCACAUAUAAGAAUCCUCCCACUGGCUGAAGUGCUGACUUCCUUUCACACCCAGCAGCUGAAACAAGACUUCCCAACACUCACUUUCUUACCAAAUUCAGUUCUUUAAGGGAAUUCCAGUGAUUUCAGCAGUUACACUGGCAUACAACUGAUACAAAGAAGUGAUGAAUCAGACUCUGUAGAAGAAAUCCUAGCCCAUUGAAUUCAGCAGGAAUUCUGCCAUUGACCUCAAGAGAGAAACGUUUUUACUGAUAGUUCUGAGGAAGACAGUUUCACAAAGCUCGCAGUAAAGAAGAGUGUGUAUCACUUCCUCCCUUGUGACUAAUCCUGCUCCCUUUACUGACUUUGCUCUGAUAUCUGGGAAGCCUCAGAAAACCUAUCUGCCACCAGAACAGUGAGCAAUUCCUAAGGAAACAGAUGAAUCAACAAAGUUAGAACCACUUUCAUCCUUUCUACACAAACGAUAUGUUGUAUUCCCGUCUGAUAGACCUAUGAAGGGAAAGCAGCUCAGGAUGGCCAAUGGUUUCCCUCACCAGUGCAGUCACUAAAGAGAAUCAAGAAUCAGGAAGUCAGACUACACUCUGCAAUUGCUUCUUCAAACCUUAAAAAUCAAGGAGACAUGGAGCGAAUGACUGUAUUGGGUUUGAGUCAAUGGAGAAUUACGUUCUGCUGCAUCUGGAGAGGAUAAGAAUUUGCAGGAAUCGUGGUCAUCUUGUAAGCUCCAAGGAGAAACCCUCACUUUCCUGGGAUGACGGAGAGAAGGAAUCACAGUUCCACCACAGCAAAUAAGUGUCAUCACUUUCCUUUCAGAUCCAAGGAAGUAUUUGGGUUUUUUUUUAAAGAAGCAAAAGAAGAACCCUCUUCUCUAGCAAGCAACAACAAAGACAAGGCCAGGCCCUGGUGUAUUGGAUGAAGAAAGAAGCCCUUCCUCUGGACAAGAUGUCUACUAGACCCAGCUGAGCAUUGUGAAAGAGUUAGUUCCUCACCUCUCUAAGCAAUUGCCUCUAAGGGUGGGAAUAUAAACUACAGUCUUGAUCACUUUAAUGUAGUGGUCAGCAUAAUUUGUUUUUUUAAGGUACAAACAUUUUAUCUUGUUGCCUGACUUCAGAAAAAGUAACAAAUGAGUAGGUAAAUGCACAGCUGUUUUUCAGGGAAUCAUAGCUCUGAUCUCAUCACUGGCAAAGGCUUGCUGCAGUAAAUCUGCAAAAGUGACUGAAAACCCCUCAGAAUCUGAGCACCAGGGCUUGACUGGGCUUUGGACAUAGAUGUUAAAUGAUUUUCUGCCAGUCUAGCCGAUGUGGUCAUCACAAUUUCUUCUGACUGUCUUGACACCUCUUCUUGCUCCUAUGACUUGAAUACAGGUCAGGAGGACUUUCCAAUAUGUGGUAUUACGCCUAAACAGCUUUUCUGGAGCAGCAGUUUUGGAUCAGCAUUCCUGGAUAAUCCCACGAGUGGACAAUAUCUACAUGUGGAAUUAAACAGAAAUAGUUGCUGUGUUUAGUUUCCUACCUGCAUUUGUGCCAAACUAAUUUUAAAGUGUAAAUGGUCCCUAAGAGAUUACAUAUGCACCCAGAGGAGGAAAUGCAUUCUGCUACUAUACGGCUGAAUUUGUACAAUUUAUGGAGCAUGUCAUAUAAAUGGAAUGGACAGAAAUCUGUUACUAAAUUGGAAUUGAAGAACAUGAUUGAGUGUAUCAGUGAAUGACUAAGGCCUUUAGACCUUAAAAUUGGUUUGAGUGUUCAUAGCUAUAAGCAUCCAUGAGAUCUCCCAGCAACUGGAUUGUAUAUUUGCAUAUAUAGCCUCUUCCUCUGAGUUAAAAUUUGGAUUUUUUUUUUUUCUGAUAUAUAUAAACAUUAUUCUGCCUCUCAGGCUUGACUUAAGUUACUGAAUAAAUUAGGAGUGAAAGACAACUGUGGAAAUUACAGCUAGAAAGGCAACUGAUUUAUUUUUUAAAUGCUUCUGCACAAUUUAAAUUUGAUUUGUGGUAAAUGAGACACUUGAGCAGAUGAAUUUGAAGGAGGCAUAACUUUCUCAGGCUUGCUUAUAUUUUCGGAUAGACUUACUGGAAAAGUUUUAGUUCAUCACUCUUCCAGGAUCUUGAAAUCUGACCAAGAAACCUUCCAAAGUAAUAUGAAGUUCAUGCUAAAACAAUGUUAUCAGAUAGGAAAAGUUAAUGCUACUGUUAUCUACAGGUCAGCUAACGUGUAAGUUCUCACAGAAGUUCUCUAGCAUAAUAGAUUUGCUUCCUUACUAUGGAAAUCAUGCUAUUGCUACUAUUAACAGAAACAAAAUCAGAUUCUGGCUCAACUAUUUCUAUUUAAUAAAGAAAAAAACCUGUUUAGAGCUACAGAAU
Gallus gallus (chicken) is the source of this 3047-nucleotide long non-coding RNA. The record is from Ensembl. NCBI's taxonomy places the organism in Eukaryota, Metazoa, Chordata, Aves, Galliformes, Phasianidae.